AUGGCAGUCACCUGUGCUCCUUAACGUCAUA
This 31-nucleotide non-coding RNA is filed under the name Rattus norvegicus (Norway rat). Lineage: Eukaryota; Metazoa; Chordata; Mammalia; Rodentia; Muridae. The record is from RNAcentral.